Molecule: ribosomal RNA, 270 nt
Filed under: uncultured prokaryote
Description: partial 16S ribosomal RNA
Rfam family: Bacterial small subunit ribosomal RNA
Source: RNAcentral
UACGGAGGGUGCAAGCGUUAUCCGGAUUUAUUGGGUUUAAAGGGUCCCGUAGGCGGAAAAUUAAGUCAGAGGUGAAAUCCUGCAGCUCAACUGUAGAAUUGCCUUUGAUACUGGUUUUCUUGAAUAUGUACGAAGUGGGCGGAAUAUGACAUGUAGCGGUGAAAUGCUUAGAUAUGUCAUAGAACACCGAUUGCGAAGGCAGCUCACUAGUCCAUUAUUGACGCUGAGGGACGAAAGCGUGGGGAGCGAACAGGAUUAGAUACCCGGGUA